Molecule: transfer RNA, 90 nt
Filed under: Hyphomicrobiales bacterium
Lineage: Bacteria; Pseudomonadati; Pseudomonadota; Alphaproteobacteria; Hyphomicrobiales
Also listed under: 2 other names
Description: Rhizobiales bacterium tRNA-Ser
Rfam family: tRNA
About the family: Transfer RNA (tRNA) molecules are approximately 80 nucleotides in length. Their secondary structure includes four short double-helical elements and three loops (D, anti-codon, and T loops).
Source: RNAcentral
GGAGGGGUGGCCGAGCGGUUUAAGGCGCACGCCUGGAAAGCGUGUUGAGGUUAACGCCUCUCCGGGGUUCGAAUCCCCGUCCCUCCGCCA